Molecule: non-coding RNA, 92 nt
Organism: Mycena polygramma
Lineage: Eukaryota; Fungi; Basidiomycota; Agaricomycetes; Agaricales; Mycenaceae
Source: the annotation of a GenBank genome assembly
GGUCUGGUGGUGUAGUGGUAACACAUCCUCUUCAUUUGAUAUCAUUGGACCUUUGUAAGAGGAAAUACCCUGUUCGAAUCAGUGUCAGAUCA